GGAAAGCUUUCAGCUUUGAGCCAGUUAUUAAAACCCCUUUUGAUUUGUUAAAACACCUUGCGGUCUGGCAACUGCAAGUGUCAAACAAGAAAUCAAAAG
This 99-nucleotide small RNA is filed under the name Escherichia coli. RNAcentral's name for it is "partial Hfq binding sRNA". It matches the Rfam family "STnc490 Hfq binding RNA", at positions 26 to 124 of the family's 124-position model. Lineage: Bacteria; Pseudomonadati; Pseudomonadota; Gammaproteobacteria; Enterobacterales; Enterobacteriaceae. The record is from RNAcentral.